AGGGCACCACCAGGAGUGGAGCCUGCGGCUUAAUUUGACUCAACACGGGAAAUCUCACCAGGCCCGGACACCGGAAGGAUUGACAGAUUGAGAGCUCUUUCUUGAUUCGGUGGGUGGUGGUGCAUGGCCGUCCUUAGUUGGUGGAGCGAUUUGUCUGGUUAAUUCCGAUAACGAACGAGACUCUGGCCUACUAACUAGACGUUAGAUCCCUUUGUGGGUCUAUCGCAGCUUCUUAGAGGGACGGGCGGCGUUUAGCCGCACGAGAUUGAGCAAUAACAGGUCUGUGAUGCCCUUAGAUGUUCUGGGCUGCACGCGCGCUACACUGAAGGAAUCAGCGUGUGUUCCCUGUCCGAAAGGACUGGGAAACCCGUUGAACCUCCUUCGUGAUGGGGAUUGGGGAUUGCAAUUAUUCCCCAUGAACGAGGAAUUCCCAGUAGGCGCGAGUCAUAAGCUUGCGUCGAUUACGUUCCUGCCCUUUGUACACACCGCCCGUCGCUACUACCGAUCGAGUGAUUUAG
RNAcentral lists this ribosomal RNA (518 nucleotides) under uncultured eukaryote. Its description in RNAcentral is "SSU rRNA". It matches the Rfam family "Eukaryotic small subunit ribosomal RNA", at positions 1161 to 1701 of the family's 1831-position model. The record is from RNAcentral.